This is a non-coding RNA of Phoenix dactylifera (date palm), 2166 nucleotides long. The record is from RefSeq and is a predicted model, not a curated record. Lineage: Eukaryota; Viridiplantae; Streptophyta; Magnoliopsida; Arecales; Arecaceae.
UGACUUGAUGCUCUUCCUCUACACGUUUCUAUUUAUUCUAAAAAAAAAUUAGGUCUUUUAGUAUUUUCCCUCUUAUUUGGGGGUUUUGUAAUGCAACUUCUCCUCAAAUGGAGAAAAAAUUUGCUGUGAUUUUUCUAUCUGAUUUCAUGUUUGUAGUCCUAAUCUUGGAUUUGUGGGGGCAGGUUUUAGAAUCAGGGGUUCUGUGAGGUGGUUUGCCUAUAUAUGAGAAGGUGUUGAGAAAGGAACGAUUCUUUUCAUAGUUUAUAGCGGUUCUUCUUGGAUUCGUCUCAAAGGAUGAUCAAAAUCUUAUCUCAAAGUUGUUGCAUUGAUUUGUUUCUGCUUUAGUUUGGUCGCUGCCUUCCUGUGAGAGCAAGUGGGAAUUUUCUUGGUACACAAUGGGAGAGGAAUUUGUGUGCUUGAAAAUUCUAAUCUUGUAAGAAGGUGGUAAUUGAGGUACAAAUCGUAGCUUGAUGAUGGGUUACAAAUUUGGGAGGAAAAACGAGAAAUAAUCACACCAGAGGUUUUUUGUUGCAAAGGAAAAGAAAAAGAAAAAAGCAUUAGAGAUUUUGGUAAGGAAAUAGCAUAACCAGAAUGAGAUCUGUGAACUUCAGGCUUCUAGUAGAUAGUCAUUUUUGCAAAAUUGCAAAUGCAUGCACCUCAAGUUUUAAUCUGUACACACAGAGGUUUAAAUCUAUACACCUCAGACCUGAAUCUGCAUAUAUUGUGAUAUUUGCACCUAUUAUGGAAGUUAGAUUGCCUCAUCUGUGAAUGAACAAUAAAAAUGCACCACAAAGCAAAAGUAGCAACUUCAAACAGAAAUAACAAGAGGCUAAGAAUCUUUACAUGGAUAACCCCAUAACCAUAAUUAUCUUUUCCAGCUAGUUGGGGUCGGCUACAUGGGGAACCCAGCAAUGUGGAAAAAAUGAGGGGUUCUAGUCUAGAUCAACCAUGGACAAUCCAUAAUGAUGGCAUAUUGGUAUUAUGGUUUAUGCUCUAGUCCAAGUUAGCGGGUGACCACUUCAAAAGAACACCUCUUGAAUUUCAAUAAAAAAUUAUUUAUCUUAAGAAAGUGGAUUUCUUUGUUCUUCUCUCUCUGCUAAGCUCUGCACAUAGAACAGAUAGAACAUCAACAUUUUUUUUUCUUUCCCUUUUUCUUGAAGCUUCACAAAGGAGAAUAAGAGAAUCUCAAAAGAUCAGGGUUAACUUUCCCUAGGUUCCAAAACAAGCCAAGUCCAUUCAAACUUGUUGUUUUUUUUUUGGUGAAACAUUCAAACUUCGUGGAAAUAGACUUUUCAAGUGUAAGAAAAUGAGAGAGAGAGAAUAAGAAUGAUAGUGUGGAGGAAAAUCAAUUGGCUGCCCUUUCAUACAUUAUGACUUCUUUUUGAUUAUUUAUUUUUCCUUUUAAGUGGGUCCUGCUCAAAUAUAAAUACGAAAGCCUUAAACAGGCGAAACCACAGAAUAUGCACUGAUAGAGUAUAAAAUGAUGACUAAGGAGAUGGAAUGAUACCUUUCAAUGAAGGACUCUUGAGGCCAAUAAAAGGGGGGCAUCAGCAUAGCUAUGAGGUUCGCACUGGAGGUAGGAACUGUGAUAGUUCUAUAAAUGCUUGCAUCAACUCUGGUUUUAGCCAUCAGUGAGGAAGAGUGAUUAAAGGGGAUUCCUGAAACUUACUUCAAAUGGUUGAGAUAAAUCUUGCUGACAAAAGAUUUGGUUUUGAUUGUUAAUGUUGUUGUUGAGCAGAAGAUGAUUGGCGAUGUAACAAAAAUAAAUGUUGAGGUUCUGAACUGAUUUUGAAUUGCAUAUAUCUUGGAGUGAGGAAAGAGAUUUGAAAUCCAUCUCUGAUAUAAGUAAGUGGAUAGAUUGGAUAUGUGUUAUGUGCCUUGUGUGAUCUCCACCUGCCGAUGAACUUUUUAAAGAUCUUGGGUUGAAUGCUAAAAGAAAGGCAUUGGUGCAAGAAAGUGAAAUAAUAAAGGUUGCUGUAGAUAUGGAAGGAAAGAAAAGGUCACAUUAUUGCUGGUUAUUAGAACCUUUUCUCUUAAAAGAGGUUUAGCUACUUUGAGACAAGCAGUUUAGCUACUUUGAGACAAGCAGUUUCGCUACUUUGAAGUCAGAGCUUAAGAAUUAAAAGUUAAUCUUCUUUUCCAUUCAAUAAUUUUUUAUUGAUUUUU